GAUGAACGCUGGCGGCGUGCUUAACACAUGCAAGUCGAACGGAAAGGCCAGUGCUUUCACUGGUACUCGAGUGGCGAACGGGUGAGUAACACGUGGGUGAUCUGCCCUGUACUUCGGGAUAAGCUCGGGAAACUGGGUCUAAUACCGGAUAGGACAUCUUUUUGGAUAUUGUUGUGGGAAGCUUUUGGGGUAUGGGGUGAGCUCUCGGCGUAUCAGCUUGUGGGUGGGGUAUUGGCGUAUAACGGCGUUGUGGCGUAGCCGGCCUGAGAGAGUGUACGGCGACAUAGGGAGUGUGAGACAGCGCAGAGUCCUACGGGGGGCAGCAGUGGGGAAUAUUGCGCAAUGGGCGCGAGCCUGAUGCAGCGACGCGGCGUGGGGGGUGAAGGCCUUCGGGUUGUAUACUCCUUUCGCUCGGGACGAAGCUCUUUUGUGACGGUACCUGGUGAAGAAGCACCGGCUAACUACGUG
RNAcentral lists this ribosomal RNA (468 nucleotides) under uncultured bacterium. RNAcentral describes it as "partial 16S ribosomal RNA". It matches the Rfam family "Bacterial small subunit ribosomal RNA", at positions 28 to 507 of the family's 1533-position model. The record is from RNAcentral.